UGGGGAAUAUUGGACAAUGGGCGAAAGCCUGAUCCAGCAAUGCCGCGUGGGUGAAGAAGGUCUUCGGAUUGUAAAGCCCUUUCGGCGGGGACGAUGAUGACGGUACCCGCAGAAGAAGCCCCGGCUAACUUCGUGCCAGCAGCCGCGGUAAUACGAAGGGGGCUAGCGUUGCUCGGAAUUACUGGGCGUAAAGGGCGCGUAGGCGGCUUGGUCAGUCAGGCGUGAAAUUCCUGGGCUUAACCUGGGGGCUGCGCUUGAUACGGCCGAGCUUGAGGACGGAAGAGGCUCGUGGAAUUCCCAGUGUAGAGGUGAAAUUCGUAGAUAUUGGGAAGAACACCGGUGGCGAAGGCGGCGAGCUGGUCCGUUACUGACGCUGAGGCGCGACAGCGUGGGGAGCAAACAGGAUUAGAUACCCUGGUAGUCCACGCCGUAAACGAUGUGCGCUGGAUGUUGGGAACCCUAGGUUCUCAGUGUCGUAGCCAACGCGGUAAGCGCACCGCCUGGGGAGUACGGCCGCAAGGUUG
This 524-nucleotide ribosomal RNA is filed under the name uncultured bacterium. Its description in RNAcentral is "bacterial SSU rRNA". It matches the Rfam family "Bacterial small subunit ribosomal RNA", at positions 355 to 896 of the family's 1533-position model. The record is from RNAcentral.